This is a long non-coding RNA of Acipenser ruthenus (sterlet), 428 nucleotides long. RefSeq lists it as uncharacterized. The transcript is spliced from 3 exons. The record is from RefSeq and is a predicted model, not a curated record. Lineage: Eukaryota; Metazoa; Chordata; Actinopteri; Acipenseriformes; Acipenseridae.
CAUUUUAAUUGAUGUAGGCAUGAAGUGGCUCAUUUGGGGAGGAAGCAGUAAACUCAAAGCUCUGCACACAGGCUGCAAAGAGAGCAACAGUGGAACUCUUAGAUGACAACCUCCUCCACAUGCAGGUUACAGCAGGAGCAUACCUGUUUAGUUGACAGAGUUGGGGAGUGGACGUUCAAGAAGGAAGGACACCUGUAUGCCUGCAGCAAAGCAUAUCUUCAUGGAAUAUAAACAAACUGCUACGUCUCUAAAGAAACAGAACGAACAGAAGGGUAGUUUCUGGAAGAUAUGCUCAAUAGCUACCAGCCCCUGGAGGACGAAGGCCAACCCUGCAGGUGUUCAGUUGAGCUCACUGGAUGUCUUGCCAGUGGAAUCUGAUGUGUGACAAGAGAGGUGACUCAGUCCCUGCUGAUUUUCCUUCUCUAACC